AUACGGAGGGUGCAAGCGUUAAUCGGAAUUACUGGGCGUAAAGCAUACGUAGGCGGUUCGUUAAGUUAGAUGUGAAAGCCCCGGGCUUAACCUGGGAACUGCAUUUAAAACUGGCGAACUAGAGUUGAGUAGAGGGGAGUGGAAUUUCAGGUGUAGCGGUGAAAUGCGUAGAGAUCUGAAGGAACACCAGUGGCGAAGGCGGCUCCCUGGACUCAAACUGACGCUGAGGUACGAAAGCGUGGGUAGCAAACGGGAUUAGAAACCCCAGUAGUCC
RNAcentral lists this ribosomal RNA (274 nucleotides) under uncultured bacterium. RNAcentral's name for it is "partial 16S ribosomal RNA". It matches the Rfam family "Bacterial small subunit ribosomal RNA", at positions 523 to 796 of the family's 1533-position model. The record is from RNAcentral.